Molecule: ribosomal RNA, 1529 nt
Filed under: Bacteroides thetaiotaomicron
Lineage: Bacteria; Pseudomonadati; Bacteroidota; Bacteroidia; Bacteroidales; Bacteroidaceae
Description: bacterial SSU rRNA
Rfam family: Bacterial small subunit ribosomal RNA
Source: RNAcentral
ACAAUGAAGAGUUUGAUCCUGGCUCAGGAUGAACGCUAGCUACAGGCUUAACACAUGCAAGUCGAGGGGCAGCAUUUCAGUUUGCUUGCAAACUGGAGAUGGCGACCGGCGCACGGGUGAGUAACACGUAUCCAACCUGCCGAUAACUCGGGGAUAGCCUUUCGAAAGAAAGAUUAAUACCCGAUGGUAUAAUCAGACCGCAUGGUCUUGUUAUUAAAGAAUUUCGGUUAUCGAUGGGGAUGCGUUCCAUUAGGCAGUUGGUGAGGUAGCGGCUCACCAAACCUUCGAUGGAUAGGGGUUCUGAGAGGAAGGUCCCCCACAUUGGAACUGAGACACGGUCCAAACUCCUACGGGAGGCAGCAGUGAGGAAUAUUGGUCAAUGGGCGCAGGCCUGAACCAGCCAAGUAGCGUGAAGGAUGACUGCCCUAUGGGUUGUAAACUUCUUUUAUAUGGGAAUAAAGUUUUCCACGUGUGGAAUUUUGUAUGUACCAUAUGAAUAAGGAUCGGCUAACUCCGUGCCAGCAGCCGCGGUAAUACGGAGGAUCCGAGCGUUAUCCGGAUUUAUUGGGUUUAAAGGGAGCGUAGGUGGACAGUUAAGUCAGUUGUGAAAGUUUGCGGCUCAACCGUAAAAUUGCAGUUGAUACUGGCUGUCUUGAGUACAGUAGAGGUGGGCGGAAUUCGUGGUGUAGCGGUGAAAUGCUUAGAUAUCACGAAGAACUCCGAUUGCGAAGGCAGCUCACUGGACUGCAACUGACACUGAUGCUCGAAAGUGUGGGUAUCAAACAGGAUUAGAUACCCUGGUAGUCCACACAGUAAACGAUGAAUACUCGCUGUUUGCGAUAUACAGUAAGCGGCCAAGCGAAAGCAUUAAGUAUUCCACCUGGGGAGUACGCCGGCAACGGUGAAACUCAAAGGAAUUGACGGGGGCCCGCACAAGCGGAGGAACAUGUGGUUUAAUUCGAUGAUACGCGAGGAACCUUACCCGGGCUUAAAUUGCAUUUGAAUAUAUUGGAAACAGUAUAGCCGUAAGGCAAAUGUGAAGGUGCUGCAUGGUUGUCGUCAGCUCGUGCCGUGAGGUGUCGGCUUAAGUGCCAUAACGAGCGCAACCCUUAUCUUUAGUUACUAACAGGUCAUGCUGAGGACUCUAGAGAGACUGCCGUCGUAAGAUGUGAGGAAGGUGGGGAUGACGUCAAAUCAGCACGGCCCUUACGUCCGGGGCUACACACGUGUUACAAUGGGGGGUACAGAAGGCAGCUACCUGGUGACAGGAUGCUAAUCCCAAAAGCCUCUCUCAGUUCGGAUCGAAGUCUGCAACCCGACUUCGUGAAGCUGGAUUCGCUAGUAAUCGCGCAUCAGCCAUGGCGCGGUGAAUACGUUCCCGGGCCUUGUACACACCGCCCGUCAAGCCAUGAAAGCCGGGGGUACCUGAAGUACGUAACCGCAAGGAGCGUCCUAGGGUAAAACUGGUAAUUGGGGCUAAGUCGUAACAAGGUAGCCGUACCGGAAGGUGCGGCUGGAACACCUCCUUU